Molecule: long non-coding RNA, 1349 nt
Filed under: Mytilus galloprovincialis (Mediterranean mussel)
Lineage: Eukaryota; Metazoa; Mollusca; Bivalvia; Mytilida; Mytilidae
Source: RNAcentral
AAACCUGCUUCUUGCUAUAUUAACAUAGCUGCAAAUUCUUUUAUUUAUACAAUUGGUUCUUUUCUUUACACAUCAAUUUAUAGACACUUUCAUUUUUUGAAAUACAGCAUUGCUUUUUAGCUCACCUGGCCAAUAGGGCCAAGUGAGCUUUUCUCAUAUUUUACCAAACUUGGCUACAAUCAUUAUUAGGGUAUCUAGUUUUAAAAAUGUGUCCGGCAAUCCGGCCAACCAACCAAGAUGGCUGCCAUAGCUACAAAUAGAACAUAGGGUUAAAAUGUACAUUUGUAGAUUUUGGCUUAUAACUCUAAAAGCAAAGCAUUUACAGCAAAUCUGACAUGGGGUAAAAUUGCUGAUCAAGAUAUAUCUGCUCUGAAAUUUUCAGAUGGAUCAGACAACCUGUUGUUAGGUUGCUGCCCCAGAAUUUGUAAUUUUGCCCUAUAUAGUCAUUUCUAAAAUUUGGUAAAUUUUUGUAAAUUUUUGCAAAAUAUUUUCAACUCACUUCUGGGCCAAGUUCAUUAGAGUGGGGUGCGCAUAUUCGCCGCGGACACAAUUUCGCCGUUUUAUAAUUUUGAGUUGUAAAUACAUCAAAAGAUGGCUGAAAUGGAAGACAUAUGCCGGUAACUAAGAUUUUUAUAACAAAUAUGAUUUUAUUUUAAACUACGACAAAAUUGAGGCACUUACCGCAAAGGACCGAAAAACGGAUAACGAUUUAAGGCCAAUUUUCUGAAUGAAUAACACGAUUUCAAAGAAGUAUUUCUUAGUAAAUUUUUGACUGAUUGUCCUAAAUUUCAGUUCUGUACACCUUUGAAAUGUCUGCUAUUGCCAUCUAUAAUGAAAUUGAUUUGAAAAAUAUUGUUUAAAGCUGCAGUUAAUUGGGUUUAAAUAGAUGUAUAAAAACGGCGAAUAUGUGUCCCCCAUUGACAAAACAUGGCAAUUUCAAACACCCUUUAAUCUAACUUUUCAGAUGAUUAUUUUCAAACAAACACGUUUUCAAGCUUAAGAAUAUUUUGCAUUUGAAGUUAUCUUCAUAAAAAAAUAUCAGUAUACUUCAAAAACAUAUAGACCUGAACAUAAACUGUGGAAAACAUGGAAAGAUAUGGCGAAAAUGAGCACCCCACUCUAUAGGUAGAGAUAAUUGUAAGCAACAAGAUUGUUCAGUAAAGUAAUAUCUAAAAACACAUCACCAACACCAAAACACAAUUUUGUCAUGAAUCCUUCUGUGUCCUUUGCUUAUUAUGCACAUAGACCAAGGUGAGAGACACUGGCUCUUGAGAGCCUCUAGUUUGUCAAACCUUCCACUUUAGAAGAAAAGGCGAGGUGUAGCGAUCCUACAUUCUGUCAUCGGCGGA